Acanthosepion pharaonis is the source of this 109-nucleotide non-coding RNA. NCBI's taxonomy places the organism in Eukaryota, Metazoa, Mollusca, Cephalopoda, Sepiida, Sepiidae. The record is from the annotation of a GenBank genome assembly.
CGGUCUCAUCACAUUGAAACACAUGUUCUCGAACGAUCAUCGAAGUUAAGCAACGUCGAAACUUGUCAGUACCUGAAUGGGUGACUGCUUGGGAAUACCAGGUGCUGUU